This is a transfer RNA of Archaeoglobus profundus DSM 5631, 73 nucleotides long. It matches the Rfam family "tRNA". From Rfam's summary of the family: Transfer RNA (tRNA) molecules are approximately 80 nucleotides in length. Their secondary structure includes four short double-helical elements and three loops (D, anti-codon, and T loops). The record is from Rfam. NCBI's taxonomy places the organism in Archaea, Methanobacteriati, Methanobacteriota, Archaeoglobi, Archaeoglobales, Archaeoglobaceae.
GGGCCCGUGGUCUAGGGGUUAUGACGCCUGCCUCACACGCAGGAGGUCCCCGGUUCGAAUCCGGGCGGGCCCA